UGGGGGAUAUUGCACAAUGGGGGGAACCCUGAUGCAGCGACGCCGCGUGAGCGAAGAAGUACCUCGGUAUGUAAAGCUCUAUCAGCAGGGAAGAAAAUGACGGUACCUGACUAAGAAGCCCCGGCUAAAUACGUGCCAGCAGCCGCGGUAAUACGUAUGGGGCAAGCGUUAUCCGGAUUUACUGGGUGUAAAGGGAGCGCAGGCGGCCUGCCAAGUCUGGUGUGAAAACCCGGGGCUCAACCCCGGGCCUGCAUUGGAAACUGGCGGGCUGGAGUGUCGGAGGGGCAGGCGGAAUUCCUAGUG
This 303-nucleotide ribosomal RNA is filed under the name uncultured bacterium. RNAcentral's name for it is "bacterial SSU rRNA". It matches the Rfam family "Bacterial small subunit ribosomal RNA", at positions 355 to 675 of the family's 1533-position model. The record is from RNAcentral.